RNAcentral lists this ribosomal RNA (253 nucleotides) under uncultured bacterium. RNAcentral describes it as "partial 16S ribosomal RNA". It matches the Rfam family "Bacterial small subunit ribosomal RNA", at positions 524 to 776 of the family's 1533-position model. The record is from RNAcentral.
UACGGGGGGGGUAAGCGUUGUUCGGAAUUACUGGGCGUAAAGGGCUCGUAGGCGGCCAACUAAGUCGGACGUGAAAUCCCUCAGCUUAACUGGGGAACUGCGUCCGAUACUGGAUGGCUUGGAUUUGGGAGAGGGAUGCGGAAUUCCAGGUGUAGCGGUGAAAUGCGCAGAUAUCGGGAAGAACACCCGUGGCGAAGGCGGUUCUCUGGGACGGUACUGACGCUGAGACGCGAAAGCGUGGGGAGCGAACAGG